UUACUUAAUUGGACGAUGUCAAUUGGAGAUCAAGAAGAUGCAUAGUCUAGGUCUGGUGAUCUCCAUUACACUUCGAAGGGUGCCCGCCUAAAGUCGACCUAAGUGAUCGAGCUUGUGUCAUAAUUUGUGGUAGCUAGGGUCAACGUUCACACGGCCCUUG
Small nuclear RNA from Lycium barbarum (goji berry), 160 nucleotides. RefSeq annotates it as U1 spliceosomal RNA. Lineage: Eukaryota; Viridiplantae; Streptophyta; Magnoliopsida; Solanales; Solanaceae. The record is from RefSeq and is a predicted model, not a curated record. The transcript has a single exon.